RNAcentral lists this long non-coding RNA (990 nucleotides) under Heterocephalus glaber (naked mole-rat). RNAcentral describes it as "lncRNA (ENSHGLG00100048256.1)". Lineage: Eukaryota; Metazoa; Chordata; Mammalia; Rodentia; Bathyergidae. The record is from RNAcentral.
GAGGGGAGGGAAGGUUGAAGAUCCUGAGAUUUAGGCUGAGUGGGCACGGAGAGCGCGCCCCACUGGAGCGGAGAGCGGGGCCUGGUCCCCACCCGCCUCUGAGCCCGGAAAGCGGCGUCCAGCAGGUGUCGCGAGCGGAUCAGGACCAGGCUAGAGACCUGAGCGCAAGGGGAGCCCAGGAUUUAGCAAGUCCCAUCCUGCAGAUUUCAACCCUUCGCACCUUCCCGGCCCUCCGCGUCCACAAGGUUAAUGUCGGAAGUUAAUCUGGGAAAAGCAGCCCUGGGCUCUGUCUGGGUUCAGGACCCCAAGCCUGGAGAAAAGCUUAAGCCGGGGUCGCCAGCUUCUGAAUCUGUGGCCCUGUGCUCUGCGCCUUGGAACCUGGGAUUCCCGCUUUCCCAUCUCUGCGUCCACACAGCUGAUUAGAUGCCUGUUUCUUUAACGAUCGGAGGCGAAGGCGGCGGCGGGGGUGGGGUCCUUGUUCUCGGCCUGCAGUAACUGUAUCCUUGUGAACAUCGCCCCGAAGCCGCAACCCUGCGGCUCCCGCGCGUUGGGGGCGCGCGCUGCUUUCCAGCUCAGCUCGCGGGCGGAAACUGAGGUCGCGGCUCUCACAGGGGCGACUCGGGCUCCAGCCCCGCCGGGACGGGCGUAGGGCUCUGCAGGUCAAAAGCUGGGGCGCUGUCUCCUCCACCGAACCCCCAGCUCCUGCGUCCCUAGCAAGAGAGCAAGAAAAAAGGGGGCACAGAGAGGCUUCCCGGAGGCGGGCAGACAGGGCCCCUGUGGUCCUGGGAGCUUUGAGCUGAGAGCUGGAAGCCCAUUCUUCAAUCAGUCCCCAGACUCUGUCUUCUCCUCUCUCUUUCCAAGUUAUCCCUUGGCCCGCUGGCCUCCCGCAGAAAGCAAAGAGAACUAGACAGCGUGUGGAACGUGGCUUCGGGGAGGAGGCGGCUAGCAGGAGCGCAGAAGGGAACCUUGCGCGCGAGCCAGGCUGUGGAC